Molecule: ribosomal RNA, 389 nt
Filed under: uncultured bacterium
Lineage: Bacteria
Description: bacterial SSU rRNA
Rfam family: Bacterial small subunit ribosomal RNA
Source: RNAcentral
GACGAACGCUGGCGGCGUGCUUAACACAUGCAAGUCGAGCGGUAAGGCCCUUUCGGGGGUACACGAGCGGCGAACGGGUCGAGUAACACGUGGGUGACCUGCCCUCAGCUCUGGGAUAAGCCUGGGAAACCGGGUCUAAUACUGGAUAUGACUCCAUGACGCAUGUUGUGGGGUGGAAAGCCUUGUGCGGCUGAGGAUGGGCCCGCGGCCUAUCAGCUUGUUGGUGGGGUGAUGGCCUACCAAGGCGACGACGGGUAGCCGGCCUGAGAGGGCGACCGGCCACACUGGGACUGAGACACGGCCCAGACUCCUACGGGAGGCAGCAGUGGGGAAUCUUGCGCAAUGGGCGAAAGCCUGACGCAGCGACGCCGCGUGAGGGAUGACGGCCU